GGUUAAGCGACUAAGCGUACACGGUGGAUGCCCUGGCAGUCAGAGGCGAUGAAGGACGUGCUAAUCUGCGAUAAGCGCCGGUAAGGUGAUAUGAACCGUUAUAACCGGCGAUUUCCGAAUGGGGAAACCCAGUGUGAUUCGUCACACUAUCAUUAACUGAAUCCAUAGGUUAAUGAGGCGAACCGGGGGAACUGAAACAUCUAAGUACCCCGAGGAAAAGAAAUCAACCGAGAUUCCCCCAGUAGCGGCGAGCGAACGGGGAGGAGCCCAGAGCCUGAAUCAGCAUGUGUGUUAGUGGAAGCGUCUGGAAAGGUGCGCGAUACAGGGUGACAGCCCCGUACACAAAAGCGCAUGUGCUGUGAGCUCGAUGAGUAGGGCGGGACACGUGGUAUCCUGUCUGAAUAUGGGGGGACCAUCCUCCAAGGCUAAAUACUCCUGACUGACCGAUAGUGAACCAGUACCGUGAGGGAAAGGCGAAAAGAACCCCGGCGAGGGGAGUGAAAAAGAACCUGAAACCGUGUACGUACAAGCAGUGGGAGCACAGGUUUACCUGUGUGACUGCGUACCUUUUGUAUAAUGGGUCAGCGACUUAUAUUCUGUAGCAAGGUUAACCGAAUAGGGGAGCCGGAGGGAAACCGAGUCUUAAUUGGGCGUUAAGUUGCAGGGUAUAGACCCGAAACCCGGUGAUCUAGCCAUGGGCAGGUUGAAGGUUGGGUAACACUAACUGGAGGACCGAACCGACUAAUGUUGAAAAAUUAGCGGAUGACCUGUGGCUGGGGGUGAAAGGCCAAUCAAACCGGGAGAUAGCUGGUUCUCCCCGAAAGCUAUUUAGGUAGCGCCUCGUGAAUUCAUCUCCGGGGGUAGAGCACUGUUUCGGCUAGGGGGCCAUCCCGGCUUACCAACCCGAUGCAAACUGCGAAUACCGGAGAAUGUUAUCACGGGAGACACACGGCGGGUGCUAACGUCCGUCGUGAAGAGGGAAACAACCCAGACCGCCAGCUAAGGUCCCAAAGUCAUGGUUAAGUGGGAAACGAUGUGGGAAGGCCCAGACAGCCAGGAUGUUGGCUUAGAAGCAGCCAUCAUUUAAAGAAAGCGUAAUAGCUCACUGGUCGAGUCGGCCUGCGCGGAAGAUGUAACGGGGCUAAACCAUGCACCGAAGCUGCGGCAGCGAACGUAUCACCCAAGACAACUUUACGGAGUUGACGAUUGACGGAGCGAAGCGACGUCAAAGCGUUCAUUAAAGUCGAGUUGGCUUAGGGAUACGUUCGUUGGGUAGGGGAGCGUUCUGUAAGCCUGUGAAGGUGUGUCGUGAGGCAUGCUGGAGGUAUCAGAAGUGCGAAUGCUGACAUAAGUAACGAUAAAGCGGGUGAAAAGCCCGCUCGCCGGAAGACCAAGGGUUCCUGUCCAACGUUAAUCGGGGCAGGGUGAGUCGACCCCUAAGGCGAGGCCGAAAGGCGUAGUCGAUGGGAAACGGGUUAAUAUUCCCGUACUUGGUGUUACUGCGAAGGGGGGACGGAGAAGGCUAUGUUGGCCGGGCGACGGUUGUCCCGGUUUAAGCGUGUAGGUGUGUGUUCCAGGUAAAUCCGGUUCACUUUAACACUGAGGCGUGACGACGAGGCACUACGGUGCUGAAGCAACAAAUGCCCUGCUUCCAGGAAAAGCCUCUAAGCAUCAGGUAACACGAAAUCGUACCCCAAACCGACACAGGUGGUCAGGUAGAGAAUACCAAGGCGCUUGAGAGAACUCGGGUGAAGGAACUAGGCAAAAUGGUGCCGUAACUUCGGGAGAAGGCACGCUGACACGUAGGUGAAGUGAUUUACUCAUGGAGCUGAAGUCAGUCGAAGAUACCAGCUGGCUGCAACUGUUUAUUAAAAACACAGCACUGUGCAAACACGAAAGUGGACGUAUACGGUGUGACGCCUGCCCGGUGCCGGAAGGUUAAUUGAUGGGGUCAGCGCAAGCGAAGCUCCUGAUCGAAGCCCCGGUAAACGGCGGCCGUAACUAUAACGGUCCUAAGGUAGCGAAAUUCCUUGUCGGGUAAGUUCCGACCUGCACGAAUGGCGUAAUGAUGGCCAGGCUGUCUCCACCCGAGACUCAGUGAAAUUGAACUCGCUGUGAAGAUGCAGUGUACCCGCGGCAAGACGGAAAGACCCCGUGAACCUUUACUAUAGCUUGACACUGAACAUUGAGCCUUGAUGUGUAGGAUAGGUGGGAGGCUUUGAAGUGUGGACGCCAGUCUGCAUGGAGCCGACCUUGAAAUACCACCCUUUAAUGUUUGAUGUUCUAACGUGGACCCGUAAUCCGGGUUGCGGACAGUGUCUGGUGGGUAGUUUGACUGGGGCGGUCUCCUCCUAAAGAGUAACGGAGGAGCACGAAGGUUGGCUAAUCCUGGUCGGACAUCAGGAGGUUAGUGCAAUGGCAUAAGCCAGCUUGACUGCGAGCGUGACGGCGCGAGCAGGUGCGAAAGCAGGUCAUAGUGAUCCGGUGGUUCUGAAUGGAAGGGCCAUCGCUCAACGGAUAAAAGGUACUCCGGGGAUAACAGGCUGAUACCGCCCAAGAGUUCAUAUCGACGGCGGUGUUUGGCACCUCGAUGUCGGCUCAUCACAUCCUGGGGCUGAAGUAGGUCCCAAGGGUAUGGCUGUUCGCCAUUUAAAGUGGUACGCGAGCUGGGUUUAGAACGUCGUGAGACAGUUCGGUCCCUAUCUGCCGUGGGCGCUGGAGAACUGAGGGGGGCUGCUCCUAGUACGAGAGGACCGGAGUGGACGCAUCACUGGUGUUCGGGUUGUCAUGCCAAUGGCACUGCCCGGUAGCUAAAUGCGGAAGAGAUAAGUGCUGAAAGCAUCUAAGCACGAAACUUGCCCCGAGAUGAGUUCUCCCUGAGACUUAGAGUCUCCUGAAGGAACGUUGAAGACGACGACGUUGAUAGGCCGGGUGUGUAAGCGCAGCGAUGCGUUGAGCUAACCGGUACUAAUGAACCGUGAGGCUUAACCUU
RNAcentral lists this ribosomal RNA (2992 nucleotides) under Salmonella enterica. Its description in RNAcentral is "23S ribosomal RNA". It matches the Rfam family "Bacterial large subunit ribosomal RNA". Lineage: Bacteria; Pseudomonadati; Pseudomonadota; Gammaproteobacteria; Enterobacterales; Enterobacteriaceae. The record is from RNAcentral. RNAcentral also lists the same sequence under 2 other names.